This 323-nucleotide unclassified non-coding RNA is filed under the name soil metagenome. RNAcentral describes it as "partial contains 5.8S ribosomal RNA, internal transcribed spacer 2, and large subunit ribosomal RNA". The stretch from base 1 to 120 matches the Rfam family "5.8S ribosomal RNA", at positions 35 to 154 of the family's 154-position model. The record is from RNAcentral.
GAUGAAGAACGUAGCGAAAUGCGAUACGUAAUGUGAAUUGCAGAAUUCAGUGAAUCAUCGAGUCUUUGAACGCACAUUGCGCCCCCUGGUAUUCCGCAGGGCAUGCCUGUUCGAGCGUCAUUUCAACCCUCAAGCUCUGCUUGGUGUUGGGCCCUGCCCGCUGCGGCCGGCCCUAAAGACAGUGGCGGUGCCGCCUGGCCCUGAGCGUAGUACAUCUCUCGCUCCAGUGCCCGGUGGUAGCCUGCCAGAACCCCAACUCUCGUGGUUGACCUCGGAUCAGGUAGGGAUACCCGCUGAACUUAAGCAUAUCAAUAAGCGGAGGA